GAUGAACGCUGGCGGCGUGCCUAAUACAUGCAAGUCGAGCGAACAGACGAGGAGCUUGCUCCUCUGACGUUAGCGGCGGACGGGUGAGUAACACGUGGAUAACCUACCUAUAAGACUGGGAUAACUUCGGGAAACCGGAGCUAAUACCGGAUAAUAUAUUGAACCGCAUGGUUCAAUAGUGAAAGACGGUUUUGCUGUCACUUAUAGAUGGAUCCGCGCCGCAUUAGCUAGUUGGUAAGGUAACGGCUUACCAAGGCGACGAUGCGUAGCCGACCUGAGAGGGUGAUCGGCCACACUGGAACUGAGACACGGUCCAGACUCCUACGGGAGGCAGCAGUAGGGAAUCUUCCGCAAAGGGCGAAAGCCUGACGGAGCAACGCCGCGUGAGUGAUGAAGGUCUUCGGAUUGUAAAACUCUGUUAUUAGGGAAGAACAAAUGUGUAAGUAACUAUGCACGUCUUGACGGUACCUAAUCAGAAAGCCACGGCUAACUACGUG
RNAcentral lists this ribosomal RNA (497 nucleotides) under uncultured bacterium. Its description in RNAcentral is "partial 16S ribosomal RNA". It matches the Rfam family "Bacterial small subunit ribosomal RNA", at positions 28 to 507 of the family's 1533-position model. The record is from RNAcentral.